RNA transcript from Tripterygium wilfordii, 1617 nucleotides. It is a transcript of the gene named ribokinase-like, with no coding region annotated. The transcript has 15 exons. The record is from RefSeq and is a predicted model, not a curated record. NCBI's taxonomy places the organism in Eukaryota, Viridiplantae, Streptophyta, Magnoliopsida, Celastrales, Celastraceae.
CCCUUCUUCCUCUGCCGCUCUGCACUGUGCACUGCCCAUUGCCCAAUUGGAUAGUAAGAAUUAAGAAAAGAUGUUGAGACUGUUCACAAUUCCUAACGUCAUAGCUCCUUUCCCUUCAAAAACCAUACCUUCUUCAAGCACGCCAACACACUGCUCUCUUAUCAGGGCCAAAAUGUCGUCCGAUUCACUUCCUCCUCCGCCUGAUAACCGCAUCGUCUUAGGUUGCGGAACGGUGACGGUUGACUUUUUGGCGGCAGUGGCCGCCUAUCCUAAUCCUGAUGACAAGAUCGGAAGCACCGGUUUCAAGGUUCAAGGUGGCGGAAAUGUGGGGAAUGCCUUAACUUGUGCUGCUCGUUUGGGCUUGAAUCCUAGGCUGAUAUCCAAGGUUGCUGAUGAUACCCAGGGCAGGAGUAUACUGGAGGAGCUUAAAGCUGAUGGUGUGGAUCCCUCUUUUCUAGUGGUUUCUGAUGAGGGAAAUUCACCGUUUACCUAUGUCAUUGUCGACAACCAAACAAAGACGCGUACUUGCAUUCAUACCCCCGGAUAUCCUCCCAUGAUACCAGAUGAUCUUUCUCAAGAAAGCCUGGUUUCUGCUCUGGAUGAUGCUAGAGUAGUCUAUUUCGAUGGAAGGUUACCUGAAACUGCUUUGGUAGUUGCCCAAGAGGCAGCCCGCAAAAACAUACCAAUUUUAAUUGAUGCUGAAAGGAAAAGGGAAGGGUUGGAUAAUCUUCUAGAAUUGGCUGAUUAUGCUAUAUGCUCCGCAAAAUUUCCACAGGAAGUGCUCUUUUUUAUCGAAGGAUAUAGAGGAGCUGAGUUGAUUCUGAUCCUGUAUCUCUGCAUAAUUAAACAUGUCUCUCCUGUUUUAUGUGAAACAUCUAAUCAUAAACACUUUGAGUAUUCAACCCAAUUUUGGAGUAAAUUGGUCCUUCAUCGGUUUGGCAUGGACGGAGGCUCCAUCUAUUCCAAGUGCACUUGUUUCCAUGCUUCUGAGGUUGCCGAACCUCAAAUUUGUCAUCGUGACUUUGGGGAAAGAUGGAUGUGUAAUGCUUGAAAGGAAUGUAAACGGGGAUGUGGUGUCUGAAGAAAUAGAUGUGGACAGCUUAUUGGAAACACUGAGGCAGAGAAAGGAUGAUAGCAUAGGGAUUCCAACAUGUCUUUCAUCACCAGUGGCAAAGUUGACAGCACAAGGGAUAGGGGCAGUGAGUGGUAGAUUAUUUGCAGGAACAGCUGAGAAGAUACCUCCAUCAGAACUUGUGGAUACUACUGGAGCUGGGGAUGCAUUUAUCGGGGCAGCUCUUUAUGCUAUCUGCGCAGACAUGCCACCAGAGAAAAUGUUGCCAUUUGCUGCCCAAGUGGCUGCUGCAAACUGUAGAGCUUUGGGAGCUCGGACGGGGCUUCCACACCGCACAGACCCAUGUUUAGCAUCUUUUCUAAGUUGAGUUACUGAAUCUUGAUUUCCGAACAGAACUACUGAAUCUGAGACGGGCUUCCGAGUCCUCUCUGUUUUGUUAAGAUUUCAUAAGCAGUUGUAGGACAAGUGGUUUGGUGAAAGCAUGGUGUUGUGUCAAUUCCGAACGGAUUGCGCCGUAUGCGUGAUUGGUACAUUGUUAGAUACUU